ACGGAAGGCAGCAGUGGGGAAUAUUGCACAAUGGGCGAAAGCCUGAUGCAGCAACGCCGCGUGAAGGACGACGUAUUUCGGUAUGUAAACUUCUAUCAGCAGGGAAGAUAAUGACGGUACCUGACUAAGAAGCCCGGCUAACUACGUGCCAGCAGCCGCGGUAAUACGUAGGGGGCAAGCGUUAUCCGGAUUUACUGGGUGUAAAGGGAGCGUAGGCGGCCAUGCAAGUCAGAAGUGAAAACCCGGGGCUCAACUCCGAGGACUGCUUUUGAAACUGUAAGGCUGGAUUUCUGGAGAGGUAAGCGGAAUUCCUAGUGUAGCGGUGAAAUGCGUAGAUAUUAGGAGGAACACCAGUGGCGAAGGCGGCUUACUGGACGGAUAAUGACGCUGAGGCUCGAAAGCGUGGGGAGCAAACAGGAUUAGAUACCCUGGUA
RNAcentral lists this ribosomal RNA (434 nucleotides) under uncultured Coprococcus sp. RNAcentral's name for it is "partial 16S ribosomal RNA". It matches the Rfam family "Bacterial small subunit ribosomal RNA", at positions 341 to 792 of the family's 1533-position model. The record is from RNAcentral. Lineage: Bacteria; Bacillati; Bacillota; Clostridia; Lachnospirales; Lachnospiraceae.